RNAcentral lists this long non-coding RNA (572 nucleotides) under Equus caballus (horse). RNAcentral's name for it is "lncRNA (ENSECAG00000029784.3)". Lineage: Eukaryota; Metazoa; Chordata; Mammalia; Perissodactyla; Equidae. The record is from RNAcentral.
GUGCUGGUGGGGUGAGGGGAGCGUGGCUUGCAGCUCAGUGCUUAUUUUUUAAUUCUCGGACCACAUAAGGAGCACCACCAUCCGUGCAGCUUGCUUCAAAGUCACAGCCCCUCACCAGCUGUGAGGUCACACCUCUCGGAAGGCAGUAGUCUACCUUAACCAACAGCUCUGAGAUGCUCAUCAGUGGGACCACAUCUGCAAUUUGGAGAGCUGCCACUGGUGUUCUGUGCUGUCCUGCUCCUUCCGGUGGCCCAAGAGAGGAUAUGAUUUUUAAAAAGUCGCUAGUUGGGCAACCUGAAAUGAGGACAAGUUUCACUUCAAGUUACCUGAAAGUGAACUUUCGCCUUUCCAAUUUGAUUCCUCCAACAUCUGUUGAAUGGCUCUCGGUGUAAGUCACUGUACUAGGCGGAAUAUGGAGGAGGAAAAUGCCUAGUCUCUGUUUCUGAUUAUUGAUAUAGUCUGUCUCCCUCCCUUCCCCUCCAUUCUCUCCCUUCCUCCCUCCUUCCUUGCCUCUCUCUCUUUCUUUCUUUUUUUUUUUUUUAAAGAUUUUAUUUUUUCCUUUUUCUCCCCAG